CUGAACCAGCCAAGUAGCGUGAAGGAUGACUGCCCUAUGGGUUGUAAACUUCUUUUAUACGGGAAUAAAGUGAGGCACGUGUGCCUUUUUGUAUGUACCGUAUGAAUAAGGAUCGGCUAACUCCGUGCCAGCAGCCGCGGUAAUACGGAGGAUCCGAGCGUUAUCCGGAUUUAUUGGGUUUAAAGGAAGCGUAGGCGGACGCUUAAGUCAGUUGUGAAAGUUUGCGG
This 227-nucleotide ribosomal RNA is filed under the name uncultured Bacteroides sp. RNAcentral describes it as "partial 16S ribosomal RNA". It matches the Rfam family "Bacterial small subunit ribosomal RNA", at positions 383 to 607 of the family's 1533-position model. The record is from RNAcentral. Lineage: Bacteria; Pseudomonadati; Bacteroidota; Bacteroidia; Bacteroidales; Bacteroidaceae.